RNAcentral lists this ribosomal RNA (516 nucleotides) under uncultured bacterium. Its description in RNAcentral is "bacterial SSU rRNA". It matches the Rfam family "Bacterial small subunit ribosomal RNA", at positions 772 to 1285 of the family's 1533-position model. The record is from RNAcentral.
ACGGAAUAGAUACCCUGGUAGUCCAUGCCGUAAACGUUGGGCGCUAGGUGUGGGGCUCAUUCCACGAGUUCCGUGCCGCAGCUAACGCAUUAAGCGCCCCGCCUGGGGAGUACGGCCGCAAGGCUAAAAACUCAAAGGAAUUGACGGGGGGCCCGCACAAGCGGCGGAGCAUGCGGAUUAAUUCGAUGCAACGCGAAGAACCUUACCAAGGCUUGACAUACACCGGAACAGUGCAGAGAUGUGCUGGCCCUUGGCGUGGUGUACAGGUGGUGCAUGGUUGUCGUCAGCUCGUGUCGUGAGAUGUUGGGUUAAGUCCCGUCAACGAGCGCAACCCUCGUUCUAUGUUGCCAGCACGUGAUGGUGGGGACGUCAUAGGAGACUGCCGGGGUCAACUCGGAGGAAGGUGGGGAGUGACGUCAAAUCAUCAUGCCCCUUAUGUCUUGGGCUUCACGCAUGCUACAAUGGCCGGUACAAAGGGUUGCGAUGCCGUGAGGUGGAGCGAAUCCCAAAAACCGG